This 352-nucleotide long non-coding RNA is filed under the name Mytilus galloprovincialis (Mediterranean mussel). Lineage: Eukaryota; Metazoa; Mollusca; Bivalvia; Mytilida; Mytilidae. The record is from RNAcentral.
CUGUCACCUGCAUGAAAAAAAAUGUUGCACUGCUGAAUUUGAGAAUAGUGAAAAUAACAACAGUUGAGACAGUGAAACAGCAGAUUAUAAACAUCUGUCCAGUCUACCGAUUACGCUAAGAUUUCUAUUUAUACCUUAUUACUUUUUGUAUUUUCCUGUAAUAGUGUUUGAUCCACAAAUAUUUAAAAGCAUUCCAAAUAUCCCGCAUGUAUGCUACUACAUUAAAACAUACUUAAAACUGCAACUAUUAUAAACAUGAAAUGGUCAUUUUAUAACAGGGAUAGAUAUGGCAGCAUAAGCAGUCUUUUAAAGUAGCCCUGGUUGUGUAUGACACAGACAUGAAUACCGUUAG